UCCUUAUAUUACUACUAAAGCAUAAGUCACAUGGCCAAUCAAAUCUUGUCACAUGGCUUGAGAUAAAAAAAAAAACGGGAUAAUGCAAAAAAAAAAAAAAAAAAACAUGAACCGUGAACGGUUUCUAGAAACAGCCACGACCCACGAUCUCUCUUCUUCUACUGGUAAAAGACCCACGAUCCUUCUUCUUCGUCCACGAUUCUCUCUUUCCCAUAUUCUUUUAUUUUAAAAAACAGCAGAAAAAUACUCAGUCAAUGAAAAACAGCAUAUGAAAGUUUUAUACUCCUUCUUCUUCGAUUUCAAAACCCUGAUUCAGAAUUGAGGCCGUAUCGAAUGUCAUGAGCCUGAGCUGAGUUCGAUUCAGGGGUAAACGGAUCUCAGCAACCUAUUUUUGCCAGUAACGCUCUCUGUCUCCCCUCUAUACAGUUUCGUCGUCUUCGGCCAUCAGAUUGCUUCAUCGAAACCGGUUAUGCGCAAGGAAGGUUUGAGAAAUAGUGGAUUUGGUACAUAAAUUGAAAACUGUAGAGAGGUUUGCAUUUUUUUCAUCUGUAAUUUUAAUGUUUUAGAUUUUUGGUAAGAAAAACUGGUUUAUGCACAGUUGCAGGGGCAAGUGGAACAUGAAAGGUUGAAGAUGCGGUGCUGCAAUUGGGAACGAUGAUUAAAUUGUAAGACAAAAUUAAGAGAGAUUGUUUGCAGAUAGAGACAUACUAAAAGAAUUACCGGAAAACAAAAACAGAAAAGUGUCAAACGUACAACCACGGAACCACCAGUCAAGAGAACAAGUCAAUAGGCAAUUGGCUUCAAACCAAUAUUUGUCUCAUACCAGUUUAGUUUUCAUAUGUUUAUGGUUAAUCCAUGGUGACUAUACUAAUGUUUUGUUAUGAAUUAUCAUUUCCUUCUUAUAACUCGAAUUUAUGUUUUAA
Molecule: long non-coding RNA, 923 nt
Organism: Eutrema salsugineum
Lineage: Eukaryota; Viridiplantae; Streptophyta; Magnoliopsida; Brassicales; Brassicaceae
Exons: 2
Source: RefSeq, a predicted model, not a curated record